Molecule: long non-coding RNA, 601 nt
Filed under: Zostera marina
Lineage: Eukaryota; Viridiplantae; Streptophyta; Magnoliopsida; Alismatales; Zosteraceae
Description: long non-coding RNA (ZMAR_LNC004309)
Source: RNAcentral
AUAUAUAUAUAUAUACAGCAUAAAUCAGGAACGACACUUACCGUUCCUUGAGUCAGUGCGGUACCUACCUCCUCCACCUUCCGAUUUCGUAUCCACGGCUGUAUCCUCCUCCAGCCACCGUUCCAACACCGGUAAGUGUUCCAACAUCGAGCGAACUGCAAUCUCCGCAUCCUCACCGGUCACCGAACAGUUCUGUCACGGAACCCAUCGCGGUUCCGCGAACUGCAAUCUCCGCGAAACCCAUCGCGGUUCCGCGAACUGCAAUCUCCACGGAAGUCAUCGCGGUUCUACGAUGGGUACCGGAACUGCAGCUCGCAAUCACGAUGGUUGCCGGAACUGCAAUCGCGAGCCGCGAUCGUAGAAUCGAUGGGUACCGGAACUGCAAUCUCCACGAACUGCAAUCGCGAGCUGCAAUCGUAGAAUCGAUGGGUACCGGAACUGCAAUCUCCACGGAAGCCAUCGCGGUUCUACGAUGGGUACCGGAACUGCAGCUCGCGAUCACGAUGGUUGCCGGAACUGCAAUCGCAGUUCCAUCACUGCAAUCGAUGUCGGACCUGCAGGAUGUAGUUCCGGCAGAUUUGGUGUCGCACGGGGGAACGUU